GUCUUUCUGAUAAUAAUUCAAAGUCGGGCCUGCCCAAUGACUAGUUUAAUGGCCGCGGUAUAUUAACUGUGCAAAGGUAGCAUAAUAAUUAGUUUUUUAAUUGAGAGCUGGAAUGAAGGGUUUAAUGAAAAAAGUUCUGUCUUUAGCUAAAUUUAUUAGAAAUUUAUUUUUGAGUAAAAAAGCUUAAAUUUUUAUUGAAGACGAGAAGACCCUAUAGAGUUUUAUAUCUGGAAAGCUUAUUUUAUUUAGAAUUUUUAAGUUAAGAUUUUAUGAUAUUUAAUUGGGGUGAUUAAAAAAUUAAAAAAACUUUUUUUUAAAAUAAACAUUUAUUUAUGAUUAUAUGAUCCUUUUUUUAGAUUAUAAGAUUAAAUUACCUUAGGGAUAACAGCGUAAUUUUUCUUAGAGUUCUUAUCGAAAGAAAAGAUUGCGACCUCGAUGUUGGAUUAAAAUGAAUUAUUGGUGUAGAAGCUGAUAUUAUUAGGUCUGUUCGACCUUUAAAAUUUUACAUGAUCUGAGUUUAGACCGGUUUAAG
Molecule: ribosomal RNA, 532 nt
Filed under: Dichromacalles diocletianus
Lineage: Eukaryota; Metazoa; Arthropoda; Insecta; Coleoptera; Curculionidae
Description: partial 16S ribosomal RNA
Rfam family: Bacterial large subunit ribosomal RNA
Source: RNAcentral